GGGUUGUGAGGUUAAGCGACUAAGCGUACACGGUGGAUGCCCUGGCAGUCAGAGGCGAUGAAGGACGUGCUAAUCUGCGAUAAGCGCCGGUAAGGUGAUAUGAACCGUUAUAACCGGCGAUUUCCGAAUGGGGAAACCCAGUGUGACUCGUCACACUAUCAUUAACUGAAUCCAUAGGUUAAUGAGGCGAACCGGGGGAACUGAAACAUCUAAGUACCCCGAGGAAAAGAAAUCAACCGAGAUUCCCCCAGUAGCGGCGAGCGAACGGGGAGGAGCCCAGAGCCUGAAUCAGCAUGUGUGUUAGUGGAAGCGUCUGGAAAGGCGCGCGAUACAGGGUGACAGCCCCGUACACAAAAGCGCAUGUGCUGUGAGCUCGAUGAGUAGGGCGGGACACGUGGUAUCCUGUCUGAAUAUGGGGGGACCAUCCUCCAAGGCUAAAUACUCCUGACUGACCGAUAGUGAACCAGUACCGUGAGGGAAAGGCGAAAAGAACCCCGGCGAGGGGAGUGAAAAAGAACCUGAAACCGUGUACGUACAAGCAGUGGGAGCCCCACCACCAAAGCAUUCUCUGGUGUUGAAGGCCCUGCAAAGCAGCAUCGCGGUGGCGGAGCGUCGUUUGCGACGCCCAACACACAAAACAAGCGGUGAGUGCUUUGGGGUGGGGUGACUGCGUACCUUUUGUAUAAUGGGUCAGCGACUUAUAUUCUGUAGCAAGGUUAACCG
Molecule: ribosomal RNA, 723 nt
Filed under: Salmonella enterica
Lineage: Bacteria; Pseudomonadati; Pseudomonadota; Gammaproteobacteria; Enterobacterales; Enterobacteriaceae
Also listed under: 2 other names
Description: partial 23S ribosomal RNA
Rfam family: Bacterial large subunit ribosomal RNA
Source: RNAcentral